This 88-nucleotide transfer RNA is filed under the name Flavobacteriales bacterium. RNAcentral describes it as "tRNA-Ser". It matches the Rfam family "tRNA". From Rfam's summary of the family: Transfer RNA (tRNA) molecules are approximately 80 nucleotides in length. Their secondary structure includes four short double-helical elements and three loops (D, anti-codon, and T loops). Lineage: Bacteria; Pseudomonadati; Bacteroidota; Flavobacteriia; Flavobacteriales. The record is from RNAcentral.
AGAGAGGUGGCCGAGUGGUUUAAGGCGCACGCCUGGAAAGCGUGUUGAGUGAAAGCUCUCGAGGGUUCGAAUCCCUUCCUCUCUGCAA